AAAAACUCCGGUGGUAUAAGAUGGAUCCGCGCCUGAUUAGCUAGUUGGCGGGGCAGCGGCCCACCAAGGCGACGAUCAGUAGCCGGCCUGAGAGGGCGACCGGCCACAUUGGGACUGAGACACGGCCCAAACUCCUACGGGAGGCAGCAGUGGGGAAUAUUGCACAAUGGGGGGAACCCUGAUGCAGCGACGCCGCGUGAGUGAAGAAGUAUUUCGGUAUGUAAAGCUCUAUCAGCAGGGAAGAAGAUGACGGUACCUGACUAAGAAGCCCCGGCUAACUACGUGCCAGCAGCCGCGGUAAUACGUAGGGGGCAAGCGUUAUCCGGAUUUACUGGGUGUAAAGGGAGCGUAGACGGCAGGGCAAGUCUGGAGUGAAAGCCCGGGGCCCAACCCCGGGACUGCUUUGGAAACUGCCAUGCUGGAGUGCUGGAGAGGUAAGCGGAAUUCCUAGUGUAGCGGUGAAAUGCGUAGAUAUUAGGAGGAACACCAGUGGCGAAGGCGGCUUACUGGACAGUAACUGACGUUGAGGCUCGAAAGCGUGGGGAGCAAACAGGAUUAGAUACCCUGGUAGUCCACGCCGUAAACGAUG
This 589-nucleotide ribosomal RNA is filed under the name uncultured bacterium. Its description in RNAcentral is "bacterial SSU rRNA". It matches the Rfam family "Bacterial small subunit ribosomal RNA", at positions 202 to 811 of the family's 1533-position model. The record is from RNAcentral.